UAUAAUAUGAGAGUUUGAUCUUGGCUCAGGAUGAACGCUGGCGGCGUGCCUAAUACAUGCAAGUCGAACGCACUUUCGUUAAUUGAUUUUGAGAUGCUUGCAUCGAAGAUGAUUUUAACUAUAAAGUGAGUGGCGAACGGGUGAGUAACACGUGGGUAACCUGCCCAGAAGUGGG
This 175-nucleotide ribosomal RNA is filed under the name Pediococcus ethanolidurans. RNAcentral's name for it is "16S rRNA. Bacterial SSU". It matches the Rfam family "Bacterial small subunit ribosomal RNA", at positions 1 to 140 of the family's 1533-position model. The record is from RNAcentral. Lineage: Bacteria; Bacillati; Bacillota; Bacilli; Lactobacillales; Lactobacillaceae.